Salvelinus sp. IW2-2015 is the source of this 841-nucleotide non-coding RNA. NCBI's taxonomy places the organism in Eukaryota, Metazoa, Chordata, Actinopteri, Salmoniformes, Salmonidae. The record is from RefSeq and is a predicted model, not a curated record.
UUUMUUUUUCAUGUCCAAAGGUGUGUGACUCCUUGCUACGUACAGAUGCACUACCACUGGCUAAAAGUAGCCAAAGUUCCUUUGUGGCAGAGCAUGUCUUUCUGUGAGAUCAUUGAUUUCCUGUACAGUAGUGUUCUGCCCCAGUUUGAAGAGCUCCUCCGACACAGUCAGACUGAGUCAGGGGAGACUGAGUCCAGAGACGAUCGACGAGAGCACUUCUUGCUUUCAGAGAUCUUUGAAAAUGAGGACGACUGAGAUUAUUACAGCGAGGUUCAGAACACUUGAUAACCAAUACACAGUUCUCCGAGGCUCAAUGACCCAGGGUUUUUUCCUGGGUCAAAAAGGGGCUUAUGUUGGGGGUAGCAGUCGACAUGGGUGAGUUAUAGAGGCCUCCAUCUUGGCAGUGUAGAGAUUCAAUUUUUUUAUGCCAAUUUCAGUUGCAACACUAACGAGUUCCAAACUGCCUCUGGGAGCAACGUCAGCACAAGAACUGUUCGUCGGGAGCUUCAUGAAAYGGGUUUCCAUGGCCGAGCAGCMRCASACAAGCCUMAGAUCACCAUGYGCAAUGCCAAGCGUCAGCUGGAGUGGUAAAGCUCACCGCCAUUGGACUCUGGAGCAGUGGCAACGCCUUCUCUGGAGUGAUGAAUCACGCUUCACCAUCUGGCAAAUGAUCGGAUCAUUUUAUAAUUAGUGCGUCUUAUGUUUUAGCCUUAUUUUUGUACUUGUGUUUUUUAUGUCAGCCCUUGGGCUUCCAACCAGCACACAGUUUUUAAUUUUAUUUUUUAAUCUGUUUUGCUGUUUAUCACUUUUCUUUGGUCUAAAUAAAUUAAACUAAACAGCG